AAUGUGGUGUCUGAAAAAGAAUUACUUUGAUAGAGUGAAAUAUGUGAAUUAUCACCCUCAUUA
This 63-nucleotide transfer RNA is filed under the name Polyphylla gracilicornis. RNAcentral describes it as "tRNA-Ile". Lineage: Eukaryota; Metazoa; Arthropoda; Insecta; Coleoptera; Scarabaeidae. The record is from RNAcentral.